GUGAACAGUCAGCACCUAGGAGCGUGGGCAAGGGCAAUGGCUCGACUGCUUCUGGAAUGAAGACACUCUACAGUGAACAGCAGGAACAGAAAGGAGCAGGGAUGGACAUAUUCAGUGUGGCUGGAGUCAGAUGCCGCAUCUCCAUUUUCAGCAGCGGACGACAUCUACGGGAGAAAACCGGGCCUGUGUGAACGUCCCACUCUACUCGAAAGCACCAUAUGCUAAUAUUGUUUUACCUGGAGAAUCUAUUUGGCUAAUUACAUUUGUGCCAUUAUUACUCCCCUGUGCUCUAAGAAAGAUGGUAC
This is a long non-coding RNA of Hyaena hyaena (striped hyena), 305 nucleotides long. RefSeq lists it as uncharacterized. The transcript is spliced from 2 exons. The record is from RefSeq and is a predicted model, not a curated record. NCBI's taxonomy places the organism in Eukaryota, Metazoa, Chordata, Mammalia, Carnivora, Hyaenidae.